GCGUGGUUGGAGUAGUGGUUAACUCGUUGCCCUCCCACUUCCGUUGACAGGCAGAAAGUAGGUUGAUAUCUUCUCGAUUUUGGGAACUUCGCUAACCCAAACAGCACUGGUUCGAACCCGGUGCCGCGCA
This is a non-coding RNA of Colletotrichum sp. SAR 10_99, 130 nucleotides long. Lineage: Eukaryota; Fungi; Ascomycota; Sordariomycetes; Glomerellales; Glomerellaceae. The record is from the annotation of a GenBank genome assembly.